Long non-coding RNA from Felis catus (domestic cat), 10364 nucleotides. RefSeq lists it as uncharacterized. The transcript is spliced from 5 exons. The record is from RefSeq and is a predicted model, not a curated record. Lineage: Eukaryota; Metazoa; Chordata; Mammalia; Carnivora; Felidae.
CUGCUUUGGAUUCCGUGUCUCCCUCUCUUGUGCGUGCGCUCUCUCUCUCUCAAAAAUAAAUUGAAAAAAGAGUUGGAUGCUUAACCAACUGAGCCAGCCAGGUGCCCCUGUUUCUUACAGUUUCUAAUCCUCGUUCUCAUUGUGUAUGGUUCUGGUUUGUUCAUUCUCAUUGCUGCAUCCCAUGAUUUAUCUAUUUUACUGUUGUUAGACAUUUGAGUUGGUUCUAAUUGUGUGAAUGCUGUGUAUGCAUCUUUUGGUGAAUAUGGAUAUACACCACGGUGUGAAAUGUCUGGGACAUAUGUACAUACUCAGUUGUACAGGAUACUGUCAAGGAGUUUUCCAAAGGACUUGUACCCUUGACACUCCCACGAGCAGGAUUGGCAAGUUCCAGGUCUUCCACAUCCUGGCUACACAUGAUAUAUCCUGUCAUUCUUGUUUUAGCCCUUCUGGUGGAUUAAAAUGGUAUUGUAUUGUGGCUUUAAUUUGCAUUUCCCUGAUGACAGAUAAAGCUGAGCAUCAUUUUUACGUGCUUACUGGCCAUUUGGAUAUUCUCUUUUGUGAAGUUUCCAUUCAAGAUUUUACUUUUGUCCAUUUCUUCUAUUGAAUUGCCUGCCUUUUUCUUACUGAUUUCCAUUUCUUUGUUCUGGCUAUGAGUCCUUUGUUAGAUAUAUGUGUUAGAAAUACUUCUCCCACUCUGUGGCUUGCCUCUGUGCUAGGUUACUUUUUAUGCGAAGGGGAAAUAAUUUUAUAACUAGCUCAGAUGUUAACAUAAUCUUUGUUGGCUGUCUUUGCCAGAUUUUAUAUAAAUCAUAUGUGUCAGUCUUCUUGCAAUUUUUUCUCUUGAUGGAUGAUGUCGUCAUACUGGUGUGCCUGAAGAGUAUAGGAUUUGAGAGAGAGGAAAUCUAGUGAGUUUUUGUAUUUUUGUUAAACUUUAGUUUUAUUAGGUUAUUAUUUAAGACUUGGCUAUUUUUCUUUUCCUUUGCUGUGCAAGUUAAGGUGCGUCUACGUGUGGUGCAGACGCUGCGGGUUGCUUACCCUGCUUUCAUUCUCCUCUCUCUGCUAAUAGAAGCUUCAUUUGUUCAGAGCUGCAGUGUGCAUAAUAAAAGCUGCUUGCUGAUUUAUGACUCUUUGAAAUUAGGGUUGGUUAUGUGACAUGUUCUGCCAGUAGCCCAUGUAGGAGAGGUCUGUUGGGUGGGAAUUCCAGGAAAGCUGUUGCUUUUCUAAGAGAAGGGAACAGACUUAGCCGGCAGACAUCAUCUACCCGUCCUGCAUUCCUUUCUGGAAAGCGCUCCUGAGUCUCCGAGGCUUUGCCACUGUCCUGCAAUCAUGACGAUGAGAGAUAGGCGCUAAAGAUGGCAGAGUUGGUCGUGGGUGGUGUCGUGGGGUCAAAGUAUAAGCCUUGGACUGCUUUCUUAGGUUGUCCAGAGAAAGACGGAUAGGAGAUGGAGAUCUACUUGUAUUUACGCAGGCUGGAAAGUUCCAUGAUUUGCUGUCUGCAGCUAGAGACCUGAGAGAGCUGAUGGUAGAAAUUCCAGCCUGAGUCCAAAUGCUUGAGACCCUGGAAAGCCAAUGGUGUAAGUUCUAGUCUGACGAAAGGAGAAGACCAAUACCCUAGUUCAACAAGUGGGGCUGAGAGAGGGAGCCUGUGUGAGCAUGCUCCCCAUGCCUUCAACUGAUUGGACAAGGCCCACCCACACUGCGAGGAGCCAUCUGCUUUACUCAGUCCAGUGAUUCAGACAUUAAUCUCCUCCAGAAUAAUGUGGGUUUUUUUUCCCCCCAGGUUUAUUUAUUUUGAGAGACAGCGCGCGUGCUAGAGGGGCAGAGAGAGAGAGCGAGACAGAGAAUCCCAAGUUGAGCGUGGAGCCUGAGGAGGGGCUCAAAGUCACGAAACCAUGAGAUAAUGACCUGAGCUGAAACCAAGAGUCAGACACUUAACUGACUGAGCCACCCAGGUGCCUGCAUCCAGAAUAAUGUUGAACCAGACAUCUGGGCACCCUGUGUACCAGCCACGUUGACACGGUUACGCAUCACAGCGGUCUUCCUCGUGGCCUCUUGUUUUAUGAGAGGAGUAUGGGGUAAUUUCCCGGUUCAGGGUGUUUCCACAUAUGUUGCUGAAUUCAGCGCCUAAGAAGUACAGACAUUACUCAGAUUUCUUGGCUUACAAAAUCAAGACUUGUGGCAGGUAUGUGACGGUGCUCUAGGGGUGCGCCUGCCUGAGCUGCAGUCAGGUGGGGCUUUGCCACAUCCUGCUAAGACAGAAAUGGCACCCGCGUUCCUGUGCGUGAGUCUGUGGAUGUGGGCCCCCGGUCAUCUCAGCUGCAGAAAAGCCCUUCAUCCAACUGAUGUUAAAGGCAGUUCAGAGACCACCGGGUGCUGGAGACCCAGAGGAGUGCUUCUGGCCCAGAGGGGCAAUUCUGUCACCUGGCUUAUUAGACGGAAGCAUCUAGCUCUUGUCUCUCUCUGGUGUUUAUCCCCAGGUCUUUGUUAGAGUAACAAACGGCUUUGAGAGGGAAAAGUCCUAAAUACUUGUUACUGAUGUGAAAGAUACUUGAGAAGGUACGUGCUUGUGACUUCGUUAUUUGGGGCAAAAUCAGCUUUGAUUCCCAUUAUGAGUCUGGGACUCACAUUAUGCCCAUGUGGGCCUAAAAGGUACUUGUGGCUUUUUGUCCUUUAUACAGUUUUUUAAUAAUUUUUUUUAACGUUUAUUUUUGAGAGAGAGAGCAUGAGUAGGGCCACCUAAUUGCUGAAGGAGGAAUGGUUCCGUUCGGCAGUUUUCCACGCUUGGAGAACCAGUGUCCUGCUGCCACUCGGAGAUCACGGCAUCGUAGGCUCGUGCCGCCUCUUCUGGGGCCUGAAUCCCGGCUCUGCGGGUCCCGCCAGGCGCCUGGGGCGCCCACUGGGUCCUCUCCUUGAAGGGUUGACUCCCUGCUCCACAGAGCACCUCCUUCAUGCUUCUAGGUCUUAACCUUCCCCCGCCUUUGUUUCCCUGCCCUGAGUGGUAGCUACCACUGACCGAGCCUGCUUUCUUAUUAGCACCUUCUAGUGUGUUCUAGAAUGUACUUUUUGUUUUCUCCUUCCCUCCACUCACAAUAGAAUAGAAAUCUCUGCGGGCCAGGGAUUCCACACCUCUGGUUUGCUGCAGAAGUGAGGUGAGAAGGAAUGAGCGGAUGGUCCUCCAGGGGUGAUUGCAAGACUUUGGGAUGAUGCCAAGAUUCUUGCCCGAGCCCUGGACGGUUGGAGUUGCCUGUGGCUGAGCCGAGGAAGGAGACGGUGGAGCAGGUUUGGAAGGGGAAGGUCAGAGUGUGAGCUCUGGCCAUGCUAGCAUGUUAACGUUUUAUUUAUUUUUGAGACAGAGAGAGACAGAGCAUGAACGGGGGAGGGGCAGAGAGAGAGGGAGACACAGAAUCGGAAGCAGGCUCCAGGCUCUGAGCCAUCAGCCCAGAGCCCGAUGCGGGGCUGGAACUCACGGACCGCGAGAUCGUGACCUGAGCUGAAGUCGGACGCUUAACCGACUGAGCCACCCAGGCGCCCCCAUGCUAGCAUGUUAGAUCAUCUCCAGGUGGAGACGUUGACAGGAAGAUGUCCAAGCUCGGGGACACGGGGAUAAACACAGGUGUCGUCGGCCCCUACACAACACUUAAAACUGUGAGAGCAGAGGCCAGCUACCGGAAGAGUGGGGGACGGUGAAGGGGAGAGAACAGAGCCAGGACGGGCCGAUGCCGGGGCGCCAGGGAGAUGAAAACUACCGAGGAGGUUGGAAACCGGAGCCCCAACUGACUGUCAUGAGCAGGAAAACACGGGAGGACGCCAUGUGCUGGCAUUCCAGAGAAGGACGCAAGGGGACCCACUGUGUCGUGUAGCCGACUAGAAUGGUGUUUGUCUGAACUGGAUUUCCCUCCCACCCCGUUCCUCGCUGCCUCCUGAAUCCAAAACCCAAGCGUUGAGGAAGAAUUUUCGUCUCUCAUUCCUCGUAAACCCAACUGGGCUCAAAGCGUGACCCGAUGGACGUCAGACCAGAUUUGAAACUACGUUUGGUGGCGGCCGUGGGAUCCAAAGAGGACUUCAGCCAGCUUCAGGGACAAGAAACAGAGACCUGGUACCUGCAAACCCCUUGAGUUCUCUCUGUCACCAUCUCUGAGGGCCCUGGGUAAGUACCUCUCGGUUUCGAGCUCUGCCCUCUUGGCCUUAAGCUCCCCAUCGAAUCGGCUGCCCAGUCCAGCGGUAACAUUGGGUUUGGACUCCCAGGAGGUGCCGGGCGAGUCCUCAGCCCUUGCUUACUCUGCAACCCCAGUCCAGGGCCUAGCCGCUCAGCCUGAGCUGGCAGGUGGUUCCACCUGGAACCUGAGUCCCCAGCCCACGGCGCCCACGGUUGACGUGCGCUCGUUCAGUCCACAGUUGUGUGCUGGGAACCACGGGUGGUGCGCACGUAAGGCCUUGUCACGGCCAGUCCGCAGUAUCCUCUCCUUGCUCACUGCGGGUCUGUGAGCGUGCACAUGAGGUAAAGGAAUAAUAAAUCUGUUGUUAAUGGGCAGCUCAGAAACCAGAGCUGGAAAGUCGGUGGGCACCUAAAAGCUGUUAGAGCGCGUGGCCACCCAACUCGAUGACCGUUAGAAGCUGGUUACGGAAUGGCCUAGAUGGACACUAGGUCACCCGCCAAGCUCAAGAAAAUUUCCACCCAGUGAGGUACACGGUGGAACACCGCAAGAUUCCCAGCCCAGCGGUACGUCCCUCUUAACUGUCAACUUGUCUCUGACAAACCUAAGGCUUAGGCGACGAAAUGAGAUCCUCCGGUUCCAAAGAAUUGAGUGCGCCCCCUUUCGGCACAACUGCUUUUAUGUCUAAGAAGUAGGUCCCAGAAGCUGUACGUGACUACAAAGACGGCAAGAUGUUCAUAAAGCAAGCUAGAAUCACCAGGGCUGUUGUGUGAAAGGAUUUCAGCCUAAAAUGAAACCGGAAGAAAUGAAACGGAGAAGCUCAUGCCUGUGUCCUCAGGAGAAGGGAACUGAAAACUGGACCGAUUUCCUGGAAGGGCCUGAUUUACGGGAGACUGAGACUUCUCUCCGGCAUAGUGAACAUCUGCCCGGAAUGGCUCCUGUCCUCAAGCCAGUGAACUUACUGUUGGACCACGGACGCUGCCAGGAGAGACCGCCUUCUCCAAAGUACAAGACCACUGUGUAAGGAUAAGGCGUGGACAGACGAGCAAGUUUCACAGCAGCUCACUUGCCACCCACGAGACGAUUCCGUGCAACAAGGGACACCAGGUCAUAGGUCAGACAAGUAGGGCAAAGGCUGUCCUCCGUGAAGAGGACGUUUCCCACGAAAGGCACACUGUCAAACAAAACCCAAGUCCGCACCCUAAGUAUUCGGUGCUCUUGGGAAGACUCUAAAGAUGGGAUCCCAGGCAUCUCAAUGCUCUAAGGGUGACCCUCACCCCAAAACCCCAGUGGUUUUAUGCUAAAAAAAAAGUUACGGUCUCUCAUGCACACGGACCGGCAGUAUUGAAGACAACUUGGAAUUGCAGUGGUCAUUACAAGGAAUGUUCCAGUUAGAUAAGUUCCCUCAUUUAAGAAGUGCACUUGAAUGCAAGGAUUCCCAAAUGAAACAGAACGGGUUACCUAUUUCAGUCAGCAUGCAGAAGCCUCCAGAAGGCUUCAAGAUCCCCAAACUGCUUCAUUGAAAGAUUGAUUGCAAAAGGGUAAUGAAAAGUUAAAGACCCAAGAGGUACCUAAAACGAGACCAUAUGACUGCAGGGACUCCUGGAACUCCCCUUUAUCCUCCUCUACACCCGAGUACUCAUAGUAUUAAUCCUCUGUCUGAAUGGUCCUUCCACCCGGAAGAGACUACAUGACCACACUCACACCAGUCUGUCAAAGGAGGGCCCCCAUACAGGCCCCUCACAGGAUUGACAGGAUUCUGAGGGAUUCUCUUGUAACCACUACCAGUCCUUCCUGGAACAGCUAAGGGGAAACUAAAAUUAAAGGGACCCCUUGUCAAGUUCGGGGAGAUGCACAACUUAUACUCUGUACUUUGAACCCCACUUGCUCCAGAGCCCAAGAUGGGAAUCCUGGAAAAAGAAGGGCGAGAAUCCCUACCUGAGUUUGCUCUCCCAAGUUACUGUGGCCCACUCGAGAGAGGAAGGUAAGAUUUCACGUCCCUUCCUUCCCAAUUCCAGACCCACAGCUUACUGACCCUUUCCCUCCCAGGGGCAGCUGUUGCCUUCCUGUGUCCUGGGGGCUGGGCUUGGCAACCAUUGUGUUGGGAACCCCAGUGUGUGGUCAGGCAGAAAUGCCGGCUGAACUCCGUUUCCGGUUGGGGUUCCAAUGCUUACUGCCAGUGCUUGGGAAUUGGGCUGUCUUUGUUCUGGUCAUCUUUGGGAGUGGCUCUAGAUCUCGAGAGUAGUGUUGUUUGUGCCCUCUCUGAGGACACCUUGUGUGUCCACGGCGUUGUUCCAUACUACCAGGAAUAUUUACGGUUUGAGCUCAAACCUGACAAGAUACGAUUUUAAGUAGCUCUUUGGUCAGAAGUUGGCCAAAUUGAAAGCGCAUAGUCACCAUCAGAGCCUAAUGGCAAUUUCUUUGGGAACUUUCCCCUCUAGGCCAAAAUUAAACUAUGUACCCAGAGGUAAAGAAAAACAUUCUGAAGCAUUACUAGAACAAGCCAGAGACAAAGGUGUAAAUGGAGAACAUGAGGAAUCAUUUAAUUUCCAUCCUAGUUGAAGAUCUCCUUGAUAUAAAGAAGCAAACCAAAGAUAAUGUAGCUGGGUGGGUGGGUUGGCCUGUGUUGCAACCCAAUUUCCUGAGGAAUUAAAAACAGGGGUCCCUGUCUUAGAACAAAUCAAGUCUUGAUCAGAACAAAGGUAGCUGUAGUAGCAACGCAAAUCCCACUUACCAUUUUUACCAAUUUCCAAACCUUCUCCAUUCAUUUCAAAAGGCCUACAGGUAUUUUAAGAGAUCUGGAUUUAAGAAACAAAGCUCUUCUUGGGAAUGUUCUACUUGCAGGAACUUCGUUGAUAGGUCCUCUCUUUGAAAUGCAAACUUCAGGGAGGUCAUUUGUAUCAGACAGGGGUUGGGGUGGGGGGUGGAAAGGCUAUUUGGAACUUAGGCCAAUGAACAUCUUAAAUGUCUUCGCUACAGAUGCUUUGGCUGUCUGAGCAGGUAACCUGAAAUUAUUCCAACUGUUCUGUUAGUAAUGAAUGAGUUUUGCAUGAUCAUACUUGUCUCGUGGCUAAAAUUUAAAACAAAAGCGAUUAGGAUCUCUAUCCACCUGUGUGUCUAGGGAUUGAUGUUGUAAAUGCGUGACAUUUUUCUGGCUCUGGGCGGUAUUGCUAAACUUAGUUUGUAAAAGAGUUUUAAUUAAUUUGCUUAAAGAGAAGUACUUAUUAAAUGACGUAUUCUAAAACUGUCACAAAUAGAAAAACAACACACAUAUUUUUCAAGUUCAGGUGACCUAGGAUAAAUCCUCAGUAAAUAAAGGCUCAGGUUUGUAGGUUUAAUUAAAAUAGUAAUGUCUUCAGAGUUAUCAGCAUUAAAUAUAACGUAGGAAACAACUUUUAUUCUACCCGUGUUUACUAGUUAUUUAAAUUCAUGUCAUCUCUGUUACAAAAUUUGUUAGCCAGAAAGAUAACUUAAGAUGUUGGCCAGCUGUUUAAGGUCUUGAGAAAUUUUCAUGACUAACAAACAUAAUCGUUAAGAACAAGUGAACAGAUACAUAUUGGUCACAGUCUAGAAGUUUUUCACUGGGUAGAAGCUUUUUUUGUCAACAAACUGCCAGUUUGGUAGCAAAAAAAUUAUAUGCAGACAUCAUCCCUACAUGUAGCGCCUCCCCCUGUUUUGCACAGUGACCUUGGAAGUCAUUUUCCUGGCCACGUAGUCCUUUCUCCACCUCAGAGGCGGCUUUGCCAUAUCGUCCUCAACCUCCGGGACUAGUAGAAAAGACUAACAGCAUCACUCAAACCCCAUUAGGAAAAUUCUGUGCCACUUGGGAAUUUUCCUGGACCAAGGUGCAGUCACUGGUCCUUCUGAGUCUAAAGAUUGAUGUGACUCUUACUGCUUCCCCCCACCCUCCUGUGCCUUGGAGGACUCGUGGUCCGCUAAACCUCUGAACUGCCUUUCUGCUCGGAAGGGACUACAUGACCAUAGCCAAAAGUCUGCCCAGUUACUGGCCUCAAACGUGGGCCUCUGUACGAGUCCUUCUCAGAGCUGACGGAACUCAGGGCUUUUCUGGGAACCUGCUACCUAUUACUCUAUUAAACAGCCAAUGGGAAACUAAAAUUGAAAUUUAUGGAAAGCCUUGCCCUGUUCUGGUAGCCACCAGGGCUGUACGCUCCGCUUGCUUAGGAGGACCCUGCAGGGGAGGUCCUGGUGAAGUGGCAGAAGCGGGCAAAGGGUGGGGAUCCUCACCAGAGGCACCUUUCCUCAGUCUCUCUUGUGCCCACUUGAGAGACGACUGUGAAGUUUCAUAUUCCCUUCCUUGCCUUAUCUAGACCUAUUACUCUCCAGGGACGCCUGUAUUCCUUUUGGCCAUCUUUGGGAAUGGCUGUGCAUCUCAGGAGGGGAGUAUGCUUUGCACCCUCUUUGUGGAUGCCUUUGCAUCCACGGGGUUCAUACUGCCAGGAAUAUUGAGUGUCCCACCUGAAACGGGACAGGACAUAGGAAAGGAUUUGUAAAAUAGCUCUGUGGUCAGAUGUUGGUUACAUUGGAAGCUGACAUUCAGAGCCUGACAGAAACUUUCUUUUAGAUCUUCCCCUCUAGACUAAAUGGAACUACGUACCCAGAGGGAAAGAAGAACAUCUCAAAGAUCAGCAGCUCUAAAUUAGUAGAAACCUAAUGAUUUCCAUCUUAGAGAAAGAUCUCCCUGAGAUAAAGAAGCUGAAUAUAACAUAACAGGAAGGGUGGGUGAGACUGUGAUGUCACUCAGGCUGCAACCCAAUUCUGAGAAACUAAAAACUGUUGUCUUGGGGUGCCUGGGUGGCUCAGAUUGUUAAGUGUCUGACUAUUGAUUUUGGCGCAGGUCACGAUCUCACAGUUCGUGAGUUCAAGCCCCACAUUGGACUCUGUGCUGACGGCAUGGAGCCUGGCUGGGAUUCUCUGUCUCUCUCUGCCCCUCCCUACUCGUGCUCUCCCUCAAAAAUAAAUAAAUGUUAAAAACAAACACCUGUUGUCUUGCAACUCAAGUCUUUGCAAGAACAGAAAUGUAGCAAUUCAAAUGGAAGCAAUUCAAAGCCCACCUAUCAUUUUUACCAAUCCCCAAACCUCCCCUUAUCCAUCUCAAAAGGCUUGUGGGUAUUGUCAAAUUCUGGCCUUAGGGUAACAAUAUUCCUUCUUCACCGAACUUGUGUUCUUUCUCUGUGGCAUAGAGAUGGAAGUGUCAUGUUUGGUUUUCUCUAGGAAUCAAAGUUGUUCUCAUCAGAAGGGAAAAACUGUGGGAGAGUGGUGUUCUCCAAGGUGGAAAAUGUUGUCUUCACAAGUAUCAGUGAAAAGUUGAAGUCCCCUUGACUCACCCUUUUACCAGAAGCAUGAUGUGAAUGUGAUCCUCUUAUAAAUGGACCCUUGAUUGUUUUACUCUGAUGAUUCUGCAAAACUGAAACGCAUGGAAAGAACCCUACCAAGAACUCUGGACCGCUGACAUUCCUGCCAAAUUAGAAGGUGUUGAACCCGGGGUGCCUAUGUCACAACUGAGGAAGGCUCCAUCUGACUUUGGGUCCGGUCCAAAAGCCGGAGACCUCAAACUCAAAUGGACCAGCAAGAGAGGUCGACUGCUUCUUCCCAAGAUGGGGGGCUUCAAUCCAUGUUCGCAGCCAUUAACCACCUAGCAACUAAUCCCCCUAAGAACAGAACUUCAGAAAAGGAACAAAGAGAAUGACCAACGGCAAGAACGAACCUGAUGUCAUGACCCGUGAAUACCACACAGACAUUUGGCAAAAGACCACAAGAACACCCGAGCUUUAGAGGGAAGCGGCCCUAAUGCCUUAAGUUGUGAUCCCAUCUCUCAGGCUGAGAAUCGGAUCAAAAGGAAGGACAUGUUGAAAACAAGAAAAUAGGCCCCAAAUGGAGUCACUCACGCUAAGGUCCACGUCACAGAACAGACUUCACCGCACUUCGGCUCUCUCAGAAGUGGAGUCUUAAACCAGUCCGUCAGGAAUCCGCUGACCAGUUAGGGCGUCUGCCUGACAGACCCCUGCCAUUCCCUAAAGGAAAGUGACUUGGCCAUAUCCAACCGAUUUUUGUCUAGUGGAGCCUCCUUGUUCCCUCUCCCUCCUGGCUAUAAAAGUCUCAUUUUGCCUGGUUCCUCUGAGCUCCUUUCUUCUGCUAGACAAGAGGCUGCUUCAUUCAUAAAUUGGUGAAUAAAGCCAACAGAAUCUUUCA